CACUCCUGCGGGAGGCAGCAGUGGGGAAUAUUGCACAAUGGGCGCAAGCCUGAUGCAGCCAUGCCGCGUGUAUGAAGAAGGCCUUCGGGUUGUAAAGUACUUUCAGCGGGGAGGAAGGCGAUAAGGUUAAUAACCUUGUUGAUUGACGUUACCCGCAGAAGAAGCACCGGCUAACUCCGUGCCAGCAGCCGCGGUAAUACGGAGGGUGCAAGCGUUAAUCGGAAUUACUGGGCGUAAAGCGCACGCAGGCGGUCUGUCAAGUCGGAUGUGAAAUCCCCGGGCUCAACCUGGGAACUGCAUUCGAAACUGGCAGGCUAGAGUCUUGUAGAGGGGGGUAGAAUUCCAGGUGUAGCGGUGAAAUGCGUAGAGAUCUGGAGGAAUACCGGUGGCGAAGGCGGCCCCCUGGACAAAGACUGACGCUCAGGUGCGAAAGCGUGGGGAGCAAACAGGAUUAGAUACCCGUGUAGUCC
This 470-nucleotide ribosomal RNA is filed under the name uncultured organism. RNAcentral's name for it is "partial 16S ribosomal RNA". It matches the Rfam family "Bacterial small subunit ribosomal RNA", at positions 334 to 796 of the family's 1533-position model. The record is from RNAcentral.